Molecule: ribosomal RNA, 776 nt
Filed under: Sarcostroma restionis
Lineage: Eukaryota; Fungi; Ascomycota; Sordariomycetes; Amphisphaeriales; Sporocadaceae
Description: partial large subunit ribosomal RNA
Rfam family: Eukaryotic large subunit ribosomal RNA
Source: RNAcentral
UGUAAUUUGUAGAGGAUGUUUUUGGUGCGGUAUCUUCCGAGUUCCUUGGAACAGGACGCCUUAGAGGGUGAGAGCCCCGUACGGUUGAAUGCCUAGCCUUUGUAAAACUCCUUCGACGAGUCGAGUAGUUUGGGAAUGCUGCUCUAAAUGGGAGGUAAAUUUCUUCUAAAGCUAAAUACCGGCCAGAGACCGAUAGCGCACAAGUAGAGUGAUCGAAAGAUGAAAAGCACUUUGAAAAGAGGGUUAAAUAGCACGUGAAAUUGUUGAAAGGGAAGGAUUUAUGACCAGACUUUUUCUAGGCGAAUCAUCCGGUGUUCUCACCGGUGCACUUCGUUUAGUUUAGGCCAGCAUCGAUUUUCGGGGCGGGAUAAAAGCUUUAGGAAUGUGGCUCCUUCGGGAGUGUUAUAACCUAUUGUAUAAUACCGCCCUGGGGAUCGAGGUACGCGCUUCUGCAAGGAUGCUGGCGUAAUGGUUAUCAAUCACCCGUCUUGAAACACGGACCAAGGAGUCGAACAUUUGUGCAAGUGUUUGGGUGUUAAACCCUCACGCGUAAUGAAAGUGAACGGAGGUGAGAGCCCUUACGGGUGCAUCAUCGACCGAUCCUGAUGUCUUCGGAUGGAUUUGAGUAAGAGCAUAACUGUUCGGACCCGAAAGAUGGUGAACUAUGCGUGGAUAGGGUGAAGCCAGAGGAAACUCUGGUGGAGGCUCGCAGCGGUUCUGACGUGCAAAUCGAUCGUCAAAUCUGCGCAUGGGGGCGAAAGACUAAUCGAACCAUC